GGGGAAUAUUGCACAAUGGAGGAAACUCUGAUGCAGCGACGCCGCGUGAGCGAUGAAGUAUUUCGGUAUGUAAAGCUCUAUCAGCAGGGAAGAUAAUGACGGUACCUGAGUAAGAAGCUCCGGCUAAAUACGUGCCAGCAGCCGCGGUAAUACGUAUGGAGCAAGCGUUAUCCGGAUUUACUGGGUGUAAAGGGAGUGUAGGCGGCUUUGCAAGUCAGAUGUGAAAGCCCGGGGCUCAACCCCGGGACUGCAUUUGAAACUGUGAAGCUGGAGUGUCGGAGAGGUAAGUGGAAUUCCUGGUGUAGUAGUGAAAUGCGUAGAUAUCAGGAAGAACACCGGAGGCG
RNAcentral lists this ribosomal RNA (344 nucleotides) under uncultured Shuttleworthella sp. Its description in RNAcentral is "bacterial SSU rRNA". It matches the Rfam family "Bacterial small subunit ribosomal RNA", at positions 356 to 717 of the family's 1533-position model. The record is from RNAcentral. Lineage: Bacteria; Bacillati; Bacillota; Clostridia; Lachnospirales; Lachnospiraceae.